GAUUUUGGAUCGUUAAUCUCUGUUGUUAGGGAAGAUUAUUUACCGUUCUUUUUCUGCCUUUCUUUGAAGGGGCCUAACUAGAAAUCCACGGUUAAUUACUUGCCCACAGCGGGGGAAAUACUUACCUGGCAAGCGUUAUAAGGAAUUAUUGGGAGCACCCGGCUCGCACGUGUUUUCUUAUUUAUGAUGUGAAAGCCCCCGCCCUCAACCGGGGAGGGUCAUUGGAAACUGGGGAUCUUGAGUGCAGAAGAGCAGAGAGCAAUUCCACGUGUAUCCGCCAAAUGCACAGAGUUGUGGAGCACACUACUGACAAAGGCGACUCUCUGGUCUGUUACUGACGCUGACGACCGAAACCGUGGAGAGCGACAGGAUUANAUACGCUGGUAGUCCACGCCGUAAACGAUGAGUGCUAAGUGUUAAGGGGCUUCCCGCCCCUUAUGCUGCAGCUACACAUUAUGCACUCCGCCUGGGGAGUACGGCCGCAGACUGAAACUCACANAAUGACGGNGCCCGCCANCACUGCGAGCAUGUGUUAAUUCGANNACCNANGAACCUACCNGGCUGACAUCAUCUGACANCAUAGAUAGGACGNC
Molecule: ribosomal RNA, 593 nt
Filed under: Bacillus sp. AMRI-01
Lineage: Bacteria; Bacillati; Bacillota; Bacilli; Caryophanales; Bacillaceae
Description: bacterial SSU rRNA
Rfam family: Bacterial small subunit ribosomal RNA
Source: RNAcentral